Molecule: ribosomal RNA, 118 nt
Filed under: Lepisosteus oculatus (spotted gar)
Lineage: Eukaryota; Metazoa; Chordata; Actinopteri; Semionotiformes; Lepisosteidae
Source: RNAcentral
GCCAGCAGCUAUAUCACCCUGCAAAUCACAACUGGCAACCCACUGAAGCUAAGCAGGUGUGAGCCUGGCCAGUUCCCGGACGGUAGACCUCCUGGAAAAGCUAAGGUUACUGCUGGAA